RNAcentral lists this long non-coding RNA (976 nucleotides) under Nicotiana benthamiana. Its description in RNAcentral is "long non-coding RNA (NBEN_LNC020398)". Lineage: Eukaryota; Viridiplantae; Streptophyta; Magnoliopsida; Solanales; Solanaceae. The record is from RNAcentral.
UCAAGUUUUAUUACAAAGUUAUUAUUACUAAUCCAAAAGUAAAAUAAAAUACAUCAUAACCCACAGCUAGAUCCAAACUGCCUAAUGCAAUCUUGAUAUCCAAUACAUCUAUUUUACCAAAUCCGAGUUCCAGAUUCCAAGGCCUUCUCUUAGAGUUUUUCAAAGUUCCAAGGAGCUUCAAGAGCCCAUGCAAUGCUUACACCCUAAAGAGUGAAUAUUGUAACAGAGUAGUGCAAUGUGUGGAAUUACCAGCCCUUAGGCGUCCAAGUUCAGAGGGAGCUCUAGGGUCCCUAAGCAUGGCUUACUAGAGGGAGGUAGAACUUAAGAGCUAAGAGUCGGUGUAAAGUGAGAGGGGAACCUUAGCAUGAGGUGGUCAUACCCAGCCAUGGCAUAGACUGGCACACCCCUAACCUCUUACUCAGAUUCAAACAAAUAAGAGCAGACUCUUAUAGAGUCAAACUCAUAUCUGAAUGAUGAUCAUGACACCAACAAGCCCAAAUUAGGGAUCAACACAUUGAGGGGAGAGGGAAUGGGAAAGUAAUCGAGUAAAGACUAAAAGAGUCUAGUUCUGGAUAACAGACAACAAUCCAUAGUGCUGCUAUGACCCAGGACGAAACUCACACAAAGGGGAUAGAGGGAGAGGGAUUAACAUAACAUAAGAGACAUAGCAUGUUGGAAGUUUAUUAAAUAAUGCAGGAAAGCAUAAGUAAACACACAAAGAAAGGGGUAAAAGCUGAGAAGUUGAACAAGGAUGCUAUUAAACAUAGAAGAACAUGUCAGUUAUAAAUUUCAGAAUAGCAGGAUAGUUACAGCAAACAGACAUCCAGGAAUAAUAGGAACAGACAAAAGAAAAACUCCCCAAGUAUUUGUGAGUUCAAGCAGCAGGAAGUGGAGAUGUAGAAUGCGCAGUACUAGUGCAGAGAAGUAGCGAGUAGUGAUAGUAGUAGUAAAGAAGAGAGAUGAAUUCUUAUUUUUG